This 440-nucleotide ribosomal RNA is filed under the name uncultured bacterium. Its description in RNAcentral is "partial 16S ribosomal RNA". It matches the Rfam family "Bacterial small subunit ribosomal RNA", at positions 338 to 795 of the family's 1533-position model. The record is from RNAcentral.
CCUACGGGAGGCAGCAGUGGGGAAUAUUGCACAUUGGGGGAAACCCUGAUGCAGCGACGCCGCGUGAGUGAAGAAGUAUUUCGGUACGUAAAGCCCUAUCAGCAGGGAAGAAAAUGACGGUACCUGACUAAGAAGCCCCGGCUAACUACGAGCCAGCAGCCGCGGUAAUCCGUAGGGGGCAAGCGUUAUCCGGGUUUAUCGGGGGUAAAGGGGGCGUAGUCGGGUGGGAAAGUCUGGAGUGAAAUCCCUUGGGUUAACCAUGGAACUGCUUUGGAGACUGGGCAGCUGGAGUUCAGGAGAGGUAGGCGGAAUUCGUGGUGUAGCGGUGAAAUGCGUAGAUAUUAGGAAGAACACCGAUUGCGAAGGCGGCUUACUGGACUGUAACUGACGUUGAGGCUCGAAAGCGUGGGGAGCAAACAGGAUUAGAUACCCCGGUAGUC